UAUCCGGAGAUGACUCGGCCCUCUGGAGACGACUCGUUCUCAGGAUUCCAGAGAUCUUUCUUUCAGGUUUACUCCCUCGAGUCGACUCGGAUUCUCUUGGAGUCGACUCGGUUCUCAGAGACCGAAAAACUGAUCUUCUGUCUUUGGAGUUGAACUGCCUCGGAGUCGACUCGGAUCGUCUUGGAGUCGACUCGGCUCUCA
Molecule: long non-coding RNA, 201 nt
Filed under: Phoenix dactylifera (date palm)
Lineage: Eukaryota; Viridiplantae; Streptophyta; Magnoliopsida; Arecales; Arecaceae
Description: long non-coding RNA (PDAC_LNC008657)
Source: RNAcentral